AUUCUGCCCARGCGGGGAAGGAUGAGAAGCUUCGACCAAGGUUCGACUUGAGCGCCAGCGAGAGAGCGUUGCCGCAGGCAACGACCCGAAGGGCGAAGCGCGCAGCGCUGAGUAAUCCUUCCCCCACCACCA
This 132-nucleotide small RNA is filed under the name Escherichia coli. RNAcentral's name for it is "RtT sRNA". It matches the Rfam family "RtT RNA". From Rfam's summary of the family: This family represents a bacterial cis-regulatory element known as RtT RNA. The exact function of RtT is unknown although it is thought that it may be involved in changing the cellular response in relation to amino acid starvation. The record is from RNAcentral. Lineage: Bacteria; Pseudomonadati; Pseudomonadota; Gammaproteobacteria; Enterobacterales; Enterobacteriaceae.